Non-coding RNA from Ictidomys tridecemlineatus (thirteen-lined ground squirrel), 73 nucleotides. Lineage: Eukaryota; Metazoa; Chordata; Mammalia; Rodentia; Sciuridae. The record is from Rfam.
GGGGAUGUGGCUCAGUUGGUAGGGUGCCUGCCUCGAAUGCACAAGGCCCUGGGUUCAAUUCCCAACACACACA